Formica exsecta is the source of this 1526-nucleotide long non-coding RNA. RefSeq lists it as uncharacterized. The transcript is spliced from 3 exons. The record is from RefSeq and is a predicted model, not a curated record. Lineage: Eukaryota; Metazoa; Arthropoda; Insecta; Hymenoptera; Formicidae.
UAUUUUAUAUUGAGUUUGAAAUGUGACUACACACUACAUUGUUCUACACUUUCGUGCUUUCUAAAUGUUUCCUCUGAAAGAACACACAAAACAUUACUGCGAUUGAAUAAGUAUGAUAAAAUCAUGAUACUAUUGGCAUGGAAAGUAUUUCUAAUCUUCAUUUGACAUGGAAAAUAUUUUACUCGUAUAUGCACUGCUGUUAUUGUUGAUAUUCAGAACUAAGAAUAUUAGUGCAAUAAAAAAUAAUGAAAAAGAAUACUUAUAUAAAAUAAUAAAAUGGUAACAAUUUAUACAUACAUGAUGCAUGGAAUUUUUUAUCGGCUUUAAAAAGUUGUACACUUUUAAAAAUAUACAAUAUCGUUUUUUUUAUGCAUAAUUGUCUUCUCCUGCAAGAUAUGAAAUAUGUAUAAGAUUUAUCAUUUGAUCACUUAUUCGUAUACUAUCUUAUGUAUCAUGCUUGUAUCUCUCGAAUUUCAUUAUUACUAUAUUCCAUUUGUUCUUUUAUACAAGACAUAUGAUCCUGCGACAUAUAGAGAUAAUGCACUAUGUUACAUAAAAAUAACGAUACUCUUUUUGGGUAUACUGACAACAAUUAAAAUAAAAUGUCCUUUAAAUUAUAUUUAUAUAUAUUAUCACUGUGUGUGUGUGUGUACCAUUUGUCUUCACUCUCGUCAGCGGUUGUAUUGUUAGUAACAAUUUGUUACAUCUCGUUGUUAAUACUUAAUAAUUGCAACUUGCAAAAUAUGUGAUAUUCGCUCAAACGCAGCACACAGAUAGGGAUAUAAGAUAACGUACUCUAUAUAUGUACUCGUGAAAUAUCGGCAAUUUAUUAGGCUCAAAAGAAUUUUAGUAUAUCCAAAUUUUUAAAUCUGUGAAGAAUUCUUAUUAAGUCACGAUUGCCGUCGAGAGUGUAAUUGAACAUUAUGUAUGUACAAACGAUUAUUAUUUCUUACUGUAAUACAUUACAUAGUUUUGCUUGUUUUUCUCUGUAUAUACGUCAGUCUUGGAUUGCUUUUGCCAGAAAACGCUUCAUUUCCACUGUGCAUAGAGAGUCGUUCUUGAUAUAUGUAGAAAAAGAAUAUGUAAGCGCGCGAGUUCACAUAAUAAAACUUUAUCUGCAAAAAAUAUUAUCAUCGCGUUUUUUCCAGUAUUGUAAAAGAAUCUCUUAAAAAUCGGAAUAAUUUUAGGUCUCGAUUUUCUCAUAAUUUUAGGACAUGUAUAUAAAUCUUGUGCACAUAUUACGAUAAAACAAAGAAUAAAAAUAUGAUAUGGGAAUGUAUCUGACGCUGAUCAAUUUCGGAGAAAUUACUUUGACUUUCUCAAAGAUUCCAACGAUCAUUACAUGAUUAUUCUUUUUCCACACAUGCACUCUCCAAUAUACAUCCAUCAAUUACUCACAUAUGUAUUGCGAGUUUGUAUGUGAUGGCAAAAAAGAAAAAAAUGUCGUGAAAUACUAUAUACUAUUUAGAAACAGUUUGUUUCUUUGAUUUUGCGUCAUAACAUUGAGACUGUAUAUAUAUCAUAAA